Molecule: non-coding RNA, 237 nt
Organism: Cucurbita pepo subsp. pepo (vegetable marrow)
Lineage: Eukaryota; Viridiplantae; Streptophyta; Magnoliopsida; Cucurbitales; Cucurbitaceae
Source: RefSeq, a predicted model, not a curated record
UGUCGCCACCGCCGCCGCCGCCGUCUUUCGUCACUGCAGCGUCCUCCAAGCGGUCCUGCGCCGUUUUCUACACUGUUGUUGUUACUGGUUGCAUCUAGAUCCUUUAAGUUUCACGUGGGUAUUCAGAAUCCUCAUUGAUCCGAUUGCCUCAAAGUUUCAAUGGCUGAUUCCACGUCUAGGAUAUGUGUGAAGAAUUUGCCCAAGUUCAUAGAUGACAAUCGCCUUCGUACUUUGUUC